UUCUGAAGCUGUUGGCCUCAACAGCUUCCCCUGACUCACUUCCUCCCAAAGGCAGGGUUUGGAUUACCCAGCAAUGCCAGCAGACCCUCACUGCCAGUCAUAUGCUAUGUCUUUGGCGUGGAACUUUAUUUGAAUUGUGUGUGACCUGUGUGCAGCACAAGGCUAGCCUCUGAUGAAAUACAAAGCCUAAAAUUAUUCUUGCAGUCCUUCUCCAGAAAGAACUGUACAUAGUUCUUCUACAGUAUAUGUUGUAUUCAUUUCCUAAACAUGAUUGAAAACAUCCUAUACAGAGUACCAAGACUUGCUUAAGAUUAGAAAUUUAUUCCAGACACAGACCUGGGAGAAACACUGAAACUCUGAAAAAGAAAGAAGAUCCCUUGGUUGAUAACUACCUGCUGUAUUCCUGAAGUGCAGAUUUGGAAUCUUUCCACAAAGAUGAACAGAGGACCAUCUUCUUCUGACUGCCAGCUGGCACUAGUAGUGAUGCCAGGGAUCCCUUCUGGUUUCAGAGAGAAGCACACCAGUACGCAGGAGAGGAAUGCUUGUC
Molecule: long non-coding RNA, 547 nt
Filed under: Taeniopygia guttata (zebra finch)
Lineage: Eukaryota; Metazoa; Chordata; Aves; Passeriformes; Estrildidae
Description: lncRNA (ENSTGUG00000020534.1)
Source: RNAcentral